RNAcentral lists this ribosomal RNA (332 nucleotides) under Escherichia coli. RNAcentral's name for it is "bacterial SSU rRNA". It matches the Rfam family "Bacterial small subunit ribosomal RNA", at positions 639 to 970 of the family's 1533-position model. The record is from RNAcentral. Lineage: Bacteria; Pseudomonadati; Pseudomonadota; Gammaproteobacteria; Enterobacterales; Enterobacteriaceae.
AGCUUGAGUCUCGUAGAGGGGGGUAGAAUUCCAGGUGUAGCGGUGAAAUGCGUAGAGAUCUGGAGGAAUACCGGUGGCGAAGGCGGCCCCCUGGACGAAGACUGACGCUCAGGUGCGAAAGCGUGGGGAGCAAACAGGAUUAGAUACCCUGGUAGUCCACGCCGUAAACGAUGUCGACUUGGAGGUUGUGCCCUUGAGGCGUGGCUUCCGGAGCUAACGCGUUAAGUCGACCGCCUGGGGAGUACGGCCGCAAGGUUAAAACUCAAAUGAAUUGACGGGGGCCCGCACAAGCGGUGGAGCAUGUGGUUUAAUUCGAUGCAACGCGAAGAACC